UACGUAGGGGGCAAGCGUUGUCCGGAUUUAUUGGGCGUAAAGAGCGUGUAGGCGGCCAGACAGGUCCGUUGUGAAAACUCGAGGCUCAACCUCGAGACGUCGAUGGAAACCGUCGGGCUAGAGUCCGGAAGAGGAGAGUGGAAUUCCUGGUGUAGCGGUGAAAUGCGCAGAUAUCAGGAAGAACACCAAUGGCGAAAGCAGCUUUCUGGGACGGUACUGACGCUGAGACGCGAAAGCGUGGGGAGCGAACAGG
Molecule: ribosomal RNA, 253 nt
Filed under: uncultured bacterium
Lineage: Bacteria
Description: partial 16S ribosomal RNA
Rfam family: Bacterial small subunit ribosomal RNA
Source: RNAcentral